This 81-nucleotide transfer RNA is filed under the name Guillardia theta. RNAcentral's name for it is "tRNA-Leu". It matches the Rfam family "tRNA". From Rfam's summary of the family: Transfer RNA (tRNA) molecules are approximately 80 nucleotides in length. Their secondary structure includes four short double-helical elements and three loops (D, anti-codon, and T loops). Further hydrogen bonds mediate the characteristic L-shaped molecular structure. tRNAs have two regions of fundamental functional importance: the anti-codon, which is responsible for specific mRNA codon recognition, and the 3' end, to which the tRNAs corresponding amino acid is attached (by aminoacyl-tRNA synthetases). tRNAs cope with the degeneracy of the genetic code in two manners: having more than one tRNA (with a specific anti-codon) for a particular amino acid; and 'wobble' base-pairing, i.e. permitting non-standard base-pairing at the 3rd anti-codon position. The record is from RNAcentral. RNAcentral also lists the same sequence under 1 other name. Lineage: Eukaryota; Cryptophyceae; Pyrenomonadales; Geminigeraceae.
GGGCAAAUGGCGAAAUGGUAGACGCAACACACUCAAAAUGUGUCGAUUAAAUUCAUGAGGGUUCGAGUCCCUCUUUGCCUA